RNAcentral lists this long non-coding RNA (1242 nucleotides) under Equus asinus (donkey). RNAcentral describes it as "lncRNA (ENSEASG00005026696.1)". Lineage: Eukaryota; Metazoa; Chordata; Mammalia; Perissodactyla; Equidae. The record is from RNAcentral.
CACACUCCGCCCCGUGGCACUGUACACUUGCAGUUCCCUUCAUAUGCACGUCACACUCUCUGCCCUCUAGGACUUUGCACGCGUUGUUAUUCUUCCAGGGAUAACGGAAAGUUCCUUUCCUUUCCCCCUCCUCUGGGAAGACCUUCUCACCUCCUAGGACUGGAACAAGUGUUUCUAUUCCGUAUUUCCCUAGUGCCCUAUACUCACCCCUUUAUAGCACCUACCACACUGCACUGCAAUGAUCUACUCAUACUUCUAAAUCCAUCAAGACUUAGUAAACUUUAAGAGGGCCAAUCUUAUUCACCACUGGACUCACUGUGUCUGAUACACAUAUAAUAGGUGCUCAGUAAACAUCUGUUGAAUGACUAAGUAAAUAAGGAAUGGAAGAACAGCUGACUGAAACAGGGAGAGAGAAAAGGGGGGAGGUGCUGUCUCAUCUAGUCAUUUAAUAACAGCUUUACUGAGAUAUAAUUCACCCCGUGAAGUAUACAAUUCAGUGGCUUUUACUGAUCUUAUUUAUUGUUGAAUCAGCCAAUUUUAAAGAUGAACUUAGUUAAAGGGGAAGAUACUGAACUGAACAUUUAGAAAAGCUCAGUUUAUUUUGACUUUAUUAAAAGUGUUUCUAUUAUUUGAAGAACACAAUAUAUUAUUUAAAGACAUUAUUUAAAGCCAGUAACUUAACAUUUAAAUUAGAAAGAUAUAAACAUGUCAAAGGAAUGAAACAUAGGUCUUUUAUUAUGUGUGAAUCAUGAAUCCACGUUCCUCUUUCAAUUCAAAUGCUUACCGGAAGUUAUCUAUAACGUAUAUUGCACUUCUUGCAUACAUCAAUCCCUCUACCAACAUGCCUCGUGUUUGUGUGAGUGUUUCAGUGUGUGUCUGUGUGUAUCUGUGUGGGGUGUAGUGGCUUCUUGUAUAUGGGGGGUGAGGGGUCGCAGGGCUGGGGUGUCCAAUGCCAUAACCAUUGCUUUCUUGUUCAGGAAGUGUAUCUGAAUCCUUGCUUCAUUUUGCUCAACAGAAAUGAGGAGCUUGGUUUAUAUUUUCUGUCUUCUCUUUUCGAAUGCAGCUGGUCAUGCCACAGAUAGUAAAAAAUAAAACUGUGGAUAAUAAGAGAAGUAUUUAGAAUGGCGCAUACAAUUGAAAAUCAGAUCAACAAAUACUAGGGCAGGCCCUGUAGUGUGGAAGACACAGAGGAAGCUCAGGCAUGGUUUCUCCUGGCACUAAACUUUUAACCAGGUUGGGGGA